Long non-coding RNA from Bombus pascuorum, 526 nucleotides. RefSeq lists it as uncharacterized. The transcript is spliced from 2 exons. The record is from RefSeq and is a predicted model, not a curated record. NCBI's taxonomy places the organism in Eukaryota, Metazoa, Arthropoda, Insecta, Hymenoptera, Apidae.
CGUUCCAUUUCGUUGGGGUGAUCCUAACGUGGUAGUUAAUGGAGGCGGUGGUUCUUCUUCUAUUGGCUUUGUAUACUAUUGCAAAACAGUAAUUACUUACGAUCGAUUUCGUACGUUCGGGCCUAGCAGAAAUCGGUGGUGGUGGCGGUUCAUCUUCCUGUUCGGAACUAGUCGCGCAAGCAUCUGUUGGUGUACUACUUGGACUACUGCUACUUACUCUAUAAUUUUAUCAUUUCUCAGUGGAUAUUUAAAUAUAUACAGAAUAAGUACAAAGAUAGGAAGAGAAAGAGAUUUGUAAGCAUAUGAGGAUUACCUGCUGAGCGAAUGUUGAGAAUGAGAACUUCCAGAAGCUUGCGACAUUGCUUGACCACGAAUAUUUCCUCCUCCUCCUGUCCCAACACCUAUACCCACCAUGCUUCUAGGACUACUCGCUCUCUCAAUAGGAGCUACACAUAAAAUUUCCUGUGCUUCAUUCGUUAAUGUAUAUAUAACUGGCAUAUGAUAAUAACAACAUUACAGAUUAAUC